GGUGCUAUAGUUCCUCUGAGAAAGGGAACAUAAUAUUCACAGGAGCAAUAAGGGAGGCAAUGUGUGGAGCAGAGACUGAAGUAAAUGCCACGCAGAGACUGCCCUACCUCUAUAAACAGUCACCAAACCCUGACACUAGACAAGAAGCAUAUACCAAAAGGAGCAUGCUAUGGCUGUCUCCAGAGGGGCCCUGCCAGAACCCUACAAAUACAGAGGCAGAAACUAGCACUCCCUUCUUUAUAACUGUGCUUGCAGAAAUAGCUCUAAUUUAACUUCCUGAGCAGAAAAUUUUUGCUAAUGCUAUGUAUCUAACAGGAAAUUGGAGGGAUAAAGUGAUAAAGCACCAGGUACAGAAGGCAUCCAUCAGAGCAUCCUGAUUCAGAGGAGAGAACAUGUGCCUUUUUCACUUCCUAAGUUCCACCCAAAGAGAUGGGUGUUCAAGGUUGUGUAAGAAGAGAUAAAGGCUUCUCCCUGGGUUCCACUAUGCAGUCUCACACAAAGGGCAUCUGGAUGUGGUGAAUGCCUAAUCCCUAGAAGCCAGAACACACCCUGGUUCUGCUUGACAAGGAGGGCCUGGAAGACAUAGAGAAGGUUGUUUUCCGUUUCCAUGAAGAGACACCAUAACCAGGGCAACUAUUAUUUUUUUAAAGUCUUAAGCAAUCAUUCUUCUGUCUCAGGGGCUUAGUCUAUUAUCUCCAAGGUAGAGAAGAUGACAGUAGGAAUGACAGUUAUGGUGCUAGAACAGCAGCUGAAAGAUACAUCCUGAUCUGUAAGCAGUAGAAGAGAAAAGAGAUGGGAGAAAAAGCAAAAAAAAGAGGGGUAGGGGAGAUGCAGAGAGACUGGCACUGGCAUAGGCUUUUGAAACCUUAAAUCCUAUCCCUAAUGACAUACUUUCUUCUGUGAGACCACACCUACUAAUUGUUCUAAUUCUUCCAAAAUUUUCCAAUUCAUUCAUGAUGACAAAGCAUUUAAAAAUAUAAGCCUAUGGGGGCCAUUCUCAUGCAAUCCACCAAUAUUUGCAAAUUUCAUGGAAGAUCACAUCACUAUUCUUCCCAAUAUGAGACAAACAAAACUCUUAUUUAAAGACCUUAUUUUCCCUAGUGCUAAAAUGACUUUUACUAUAACAUGUCCUGUGAAUGAAGCCCUGAAUGCCAGGAUAGAUUUUAGUAACUGACCAACAUUAUGACAUAUAAGUGUGACAUCCUUCAUGAUCUCACGUACAUGGAUACACAUUGUUGUGUUUGAAUUACACAGCAUGAUUUGAAGAUUCAUAAAAUCAUUGUACAGGUAGAAAAUUGGUAUGUAGUAGAAAUGACUAACCUUUGAUGUCAUAGCUGAUGGGGUAGAUACAAAGGCCAUCUUUGCCUACUUGAGUUGAUGGAAAGUCUCUUAGACACUCCUCAUCAUUCACUGGACUACAAGAUGACAACCAGAACAACUGCUGGAUCUUUGACUUGGCAGUUCUCAGCAGCACCUUCAUCUACAACAGCACAGGAACCAUCAACCAGUAGGCCAUGGACCAGCUGCUGUAUCCUUUUGGUGUGCCCUAGGAUAGUCCGAAACCUCGAAAAAACAGCAUCAUUAUAACAUCAGGGAGUGUCUUUGUGCCUCAAGGACUUCUGGAGCACCUAUGUGUCAGCUAUCAUCAAGUAUCUAUCUGUAGUUACAGCCACAUUCAGCCUUUCACAUUUAGCUGCUGAUGGAACACCACAUGAAGUUAAUGGAAGAGCUAUCACUCUUGAUGAGUACCUGGAGAGUUCACUGGUUUGGAGACCAAGUAAACAGGCACAAUGGAAGUUUGGUUAUCAUGGUAAUGAUAGAGCCUGGUGACAAGAAGCAACUCCCCAAACUAGAGUUUAUGAGGGAGAAGGAGCUGAAUAAAGAAUUUGUAGAAGUUGCAAAUUUUGCCUUGUACUUCUUAAGCAAUUCUGGUGUCAAAACUCUCUGUGGUGGCAUCACAGUCGAGGGGAAAUGUCUAAAAAUGCUAGUGGAGAACUAUGUUGGUGCCAUCUGAAGUGGAGAACCUCCCUGAAUGGAGAGUGCUAUCCUGAGUUUGGCUCAGAUAGAGAACUCAUCUGCCUUGCAAAAGACCAUCACCUACUAUGAAGAAAAGAUGAAUCAGAAUGUCCAGAUGCUCAUUGUUACCCUAAAGGACCUGCUGGAUUGGCACAGGACCUGUGAAAGUGAGGCCACUGAGGUCUUCAUGAAUAAUUCUUUCAAGGAUGUAGACCUAAAGUUCCAGAAGAAAUUAGAGGAACAGGAAAAACUUCUCCAGGAUGGAUUCAAGAAUGAGAGCAAGAAACUAUAUGAAGAGUAGAGGAAAUCAAGAACAUGUUAUCUUCACAGUGUAAAGUUCUUUAAAACUCAAACAGACUAAUGUUCUCUACCCUGGUUCCACUCAAUAGGAGCAAACUUCAGGGACCACUUUGGAUUGUGAAGCAGCUUGGCAAUGAACUAGGCUUGAAGACAUGACACUUUAUUGGGAAGAACUUAGAAAUAAAGAUAGCAAAGUGGAGUUAACAUGUAAAAAGAAAGCUUGGCUUAUGAAAUAAAUAAUUCAGUUCUUAUUUGUGUUAGAACUAAAGAUUCAUAUGAUCUUUAAUUGGGUCUUAUAUUUGAAAUUAUAACCAUGGACUCUGUAUACAUACUAAAUUGUAUCCUUGGGAUUUGUUUUUACCACACAGUGAUAUGGCAGCUGCCUUUGGGUAGACCUUUUUGUAUCACAUACACACUCUUCUGGAUAUUCUUAGUCAUAUGCUCUUAACUAAUUCAAAAAUUUAGCUUUGCCCCAAGCUGAGAUUGGCAUGUUGUAAACAUGUUGAAAAUCUGAAUAUAACCAUAUGAUACAGCUCCUUGGGUCUCAUGCUGUCUUCAGACUUUGGUUCCUAGGAUAGACAAUGGGCAGUGCUCAGUGUGGGAAGGCUGUGUGGCUGCUGGAUGAGCAGAGAAGUCCAUUGGAGAGUGGGAGAAAAACCCCUCCAGGCAGAAUGCAGCUGUGAGUGGGAGUUGCCCCUCCCCUUUAGAGAAAUUCUUGCUGUUUCAUGCUUCAGCUUUCUGUUUCCUUCUGAAUUUCUCUUUAUAAUUUUUAAAAACAAUAUAUCCUUCGAAGAGUUUUAGAAUGACUUCCACAAUCACGGAAUGGAGAACUCAAAAUAAUUUCUUUCUGUUCUUCAGAAGUUCAUGACCACAGUUCCACCCCUUCGAAAACCAAGCUUCAUUUUUAUAUGACUUUUGCUACUAUGACAUAAUUUGCAAGUCUCUAAAUAAAGGCAUUCAACAAUGUAGAGAA
Apodemus sylvaticus (European woodmouse) is the source of this 3289-nucleotide long non-coding RNA. RefSeq lists it as uncharacterized. The transcript has 9 exons. The record is from RefSeq and is a predicted model, not a curated record. NCBI's taxonomy places the organism in Eukaryota, Metazoa, Chordata, Mammalia, Rodentia, Muridae.